This 117-nucleotide ribosomal RNA is filed under the name Ignavibacteriales bacterium CG12_big_fil_rev_8_21_14_0_65_30_8. Lineage: Bacteria; Pseudomonadati; Ignavibacteriota; Ignavibacteria; Ignavibacteriales. The record is from RNAcentral.
UUUGGUGACUAUAGCCAGGGUGUUACACCUCUUCCCAUUCCGAACAGAGAAGUUAAGCCCCUGCACGCCGAUGGUACUGCGUGGGCAACUGCGUGGGAGAGUAGGUAGUCGCCAUUU